Folsomia candida is the source of this 1841-nucleotide RNA transcript. RefSeq lists it as uncharacterized. The transcript is spliced from 5 exons. The record is from RefSeq and is a predicted model, not a curated record. NCBI's taxonomy places the organism in Eukaryota, Metazoa, Arthropoda, Collembola, Entomobryomorpha, Isotomidae.
UGGUCGUCAUUACAUGUGUAUGCAUAAAUAUUUGUGUAUUUCAUCUCUUCCUUUCUGUAUUUUUUUCCCAAAACACGAAUUAAAUUUCAAUAUACAAUAAAAAAUUACGCCAUUAAAAUUACGUGUCUUUUAUCGUAAUCAUGUGGAAGGAGAAAUCUGAAUUUUUGCAGGAGGGACUUGCAAUAUGUUACUCUGACGAAGAAAAUAGCACAGAGGCCUGUACGCAUUGUGGACCUGAUCUAAUUCCAGAUGUAAUUCCUCAUCUUUGCAAAUUCCUUGCAACCAAGGACAUAAAACGGUGUCGACUAGUCUGUAAAUCAUGGAAUUACAAUGCUACGCAUACUUUAAAGGGGAGGACAACUAUAAAAAUUCGACUUUAUCCGGAAAAUGAUCGGGAUACGGAUCCCUUUAAAAUGUGGGACGGUAUCGUCCAAAAAAUGCAAUUCUGUCAGGUCAAUGUCCACCUGGAGAUUCUAAACCAACUGGAAUACACCCUCCCACCAGUGGGCCUCAAAAUCUUUCCCCCGGUGGGAUUUCUUAAGUCCAUUUUUGUCCAGGUGUAUAAAGCCGAACAGUGGCAGAAAGAUUUGUGUGACAAAAUUGUACUGAAUUCGGCCCUGACUCUGGAGAAAUUAAGGUUUGAAUGGAGACACGAUAUGGAUUAUUUCCCUUUCCUGAGAGGCACCACUUUCCCUGAAUUAUGGGAACUAAUUCUAUGGGAUAUCUGGGAUCGGAGAGAGAAUGAUGGUCUCCUUCUGGAAAGAAUAGGCCAAAUGAUUACGGAAGCGUUUCCAAAGUUGGAAUAUCUCAAAACUAAUUGUAAUCAGCUAUAUGAAAUUGGAAAGAUGGGAUUCUUGUCGAAUUUUCCUGGGUAAGUAGUUUCGUAAUAUUUGUUGAUCCUCGACCUGUGGUCUAUCUAAAAUAAGAAGUCACUUAGAAAUCUCAGAGGUUUCAAAUUUUCAAACGUAUUUAUCUCUGAGGCGUGACGAAAUGUAACAUUUGGCUAAGCAGAGGACUGUACGGAAAUGAUGUGAACGAUUUGAGGGGGGAGGUUAAGGUAUCCUAUCCUGCCCAUGUUAAUUAUACCAUGGAUCCAAUAGCUCACACCGGUGAUGGUAGGGGUUCACAAUUUCCCAAAAAUCAGUCACAUGCUUUAUGUCUGGCCCCUUUCCCACAUGAACCAUAAUCUGGCUGAAAAUAUGACCUAAUUUUUCUUAAUCAUGUCAAUCAGAUCACUUAAGUCCUUGGAAUUGACGGGACAAUUGGACGCCAAGGGGCUAAAAUAUAUCGCUAAAAUUCCUAGCUCUUUAAAGAAACUUGUCUUCCAUCAGGUUUCUUUUGAUGCUUAUGAUCCCUACUUGAACAGACUGCCAUUUAUGCUGCACAAAUUGCUCGAGAAACAUUCCCCCACUUUAGAAAAACUCGCCAUCGACAUAUCCUGGCCGGAUGGGUGUGAAAAAUUGAAAUGGGGAGUCCCAGUUUUUCCAGCCCUCAAAAGUUUCCGGAUCUGUCACCCCACAACUUUUGAAAAUAUUGAGUUUCGCGAUAAACUCGUGACAGGAAACAACUGGAUACGACUUGAUUAUAACGUUUGUUUCCCGAGUUUGGAAAGUUUGCAUGUCUCCACAAACGAAUUGCACGUGGCGUUUCUUCCCUCGGCAGAAAAUAGAAUUCUGAUUGCCAAUUCGGUCAAGAACGUGGAAAUUGCGGUUGAAGAUGUGCGGAACAAAGAGGAAAAAUUAGCAUUCUAUAAACGAUUAUUGGAUGUUUUUCAGAACGCGAGAGAUUCGGCAAGCGGAAAUUUAAAGAUAAUCGUUACAUACAAAACGUAAGCGUUCUGA